Unclassified non-coding RNA from Fukomys damarensis (Damara mole-rat), 316 nucleotides. Its record names the gene 7SK. It matches the Rfam family "7SK RNA". Rfam says of the family: 7SK was discovered as an abundant small nuclear RNA in the mid-70s but a possible function has only recently been suggested. Two independent studies have found that 7SK RNA binds the CDK9/cyclin T complex (known as elongation factor P-TEFb). Lineage: Eukaryota; Metazoa; Chordata; Mammalia; Rodentia; Bathyergidae. The record is from Ensembl.
AGAUGUGAGGGUGAUCUGGCUGCAACAUCUGUCACCCCACUGAUCAACAGGGUUGAUUCGGCUCAUCUGGCUGGCUGGGCGGGUGUCCCCUUCCUCCCUCACCGCUCCACGUGCGUCCCUCCGGAAGCCACGCCCUUGGUGGAAGAGGACGACCGCCCCUGAUGGAGGAGGACCAUCUCCUUGGUCAAGGGUAUAGGAGUAGCUGCGCUCCCCUGCUACAACUUCCACACAAGCUCUCAAGAAUUCAAAAGUAAACAGAGUAAGAGGCUUAACAGCUGCGAGUAGGAUACGAUGGCCCCUGGCCAGGGCUGUCCCU